GUCUCUUCCAACUCUAUGAUUCUAUGAUUCUAUGAAAUGUACCCUUUCCUCACAGACAAGUCAGAACCCUGGAAUUGUAGAGUUGGAAGGGAC
Non-coding RNA from Podarcis lilfordi (Lilford's wall lizard), 93 nucleotides. NCBI's taxonomy places the organism in Eukaryota, Metazoa, Chordata, Lepidosauria, Squamata, Lacertidae. The record is from the annotation of a GenBank genome assembly.